GAUGAACGCUGGCGGCGUGCUUAACACAUGCAAGUCGAGCGGAGAUAUUUAAACGGAAGGUUUCGGCUGGAAGGUUAAAUAUCUUAGCGGCGGACGGGUGAGUAACGUGUGGGCAACCUGCCCUGUACUGUGGAAUAAUCACUGGAAACGGUGACUAAUACCGCAUGUCAUCACAAGGGGGCAUCCCCUUGUGAGAAAAGGAUUUAUUCGGUACAGGAUGGGCCCGCAUCUGAUUAGCUAGUUGGUGAGAUAACAGCCCACCAAGGCAACGAUCAGUAGCCGACCUGAGAGGGUGAUCGGCCACAUUGGGACUGAGACACGGCCCAAACUCCUACGGGAGGCAGCAGUGGGGAAUAUUGCACAAUGGGCGAAAGCCUGAUGCAGCAACGCCGCGUGAAGGAUGAAGGGUUUCGGCUCGUAAACUUCUAUCAAUAGGGACGAAAAAAAUGACGGUACCUAAAUAAGAAGCCCCGGCUAACUACGUGCCAGCAGCCGCGGUAAUACGUAGGGGGCAAGCGUUAUCCGGAAUUACUGGGUGUAAAGGGAGAGUAGGCGGCAUGGUAAGUUAGAUGUGAAAGCCCGGGGCUUAACCUCGGGAUUGCAUUUAAAACUAUCAAGCUAGAGUACAGGAGAGGUAAGUGGAAUUCCUAGUGUAGCGGUGAAAUGCGUAGAUAUUAGGAAGAACACCAGUGGCGAAGGCGACUUACUGGACUGAAACUGACGCUGAGGCUCGAAAGCGUGGGGAGCGAACAGGAUUAGAUACCCUGGUAGUCCACGCCGUAAACGAUGAGUGCUAGGUGUCGGGGGGGAACCCUCGGUGCCGCAGCUAACGCAAUAAGCACUCCACCUGGGGAGUACGAUCGCAAGAUUGA
RNAcentral lists this ribosomal RNA (872 nucleotides) under uncultured bacterium. RNAcentral describes it as "bacterial SSU rRNA". It matches the Rfam family "Bacterial small subunit ribosomal RNA", at positions 28 to 897 of the family's 1533-position model. The record is from RNAcentral.